Molecule: long non-coding RNA, 4078 nt
Filed under: Nicotiana benthamiana
Lineage: Eukaryota; Viridiplantae; Streptophyta; Magnoliopsida; Solanales; Solanaceae
Description: long non-coding RNA (NBEN_LNC036856)
Source: RNAcentral
GUUAUUUUAUGAACUUUUAAAAAUUGGAGUAGUGUAAAUUUAACCCUCACCCUAUCUCUUCUAACCAAAUCGACGCCCCCGCCCCAUUCUCAUCUUUGCCCGCCUCCAAACUCGCCGGAACUCGCCCCAAACCCGGCGAGUUCACCCAUUGGUCUCCCCAUGGUCCCCCCUUUCUUCUCCUUCUUCCACGUAGCUAAUCUCAACGAAUUUCAUCAUUUCAAUCUGAUUCACGCGGAUUUCUUCUUUUAUCGCUUUUAUUUUUGUACAAAUCCGAGCCGUGGGAAUAAAGGUGGAAAAUGGGAGCUAUUGGAUUAAAAAUCUUGAUCAAAGACUUGUAUUUUUUGAAUUUUUUUUCAAACAAGGAUUUUUGGAUUUUUGCUUGGGGGUCCACACGAAUUUUUGGAGGAUUUUCGGAUUUCUUGGUAAAGAAGAAUGGAAGAUUCGAGACCCCCUAUAUAUUGGGGGUGAUUUCUCAGGGGAAGAUGGGAGAGAAAAAUGCUAGGGGUUUUUCAGAUUUUUGUUUGUUUUUCAAAUUUCAGUGCAUUCGAAAAUUAGAGUUCUCUUUGGGGUGAUAUUGGAUUUUGUUUCGUACAUAAAAGAAAAAAAAUUAGUUUCUUCUAAUUUUAAUUUCACUUCAAAGUCAGAAAAAUAGAUAAAAAAAAAUCAGUUCCUUCUCCUGUUUUCUUGUUCUAAAUGGAGUUUAGCUGAGGUUCGAGGUUCGAUAUCAGUCGCCAAUCUGAAGUUCCGUCUGGGCUCCUGUCCAAUUCGAGUUUCCAUUGUAGCUGCGAUUUUGUUAUGCUCGUGUAACUGCUGAACCUUUUGGAGAAAUUGAAGUUCCAGUUUUCAGGUGCAUUUCUUCCCCUAAUGAUCUCACUUAUUGGUAUCCUUAAGUAUGAUAAGAGCUAUAAAGAACUAACCUCCAUGGUGAUAGAUAUUUGAUUGUAUUUUAGUAGAGGUUGUGUUCGGAGUCAGUUUCUGAUUGCGACUUGUUGUUUGAAAAAGAUUUUUUGAUCUAUGCUUGUUUUUCGAUGCAAUAUCUUAUUGUCUGAUAUUUAUGAAUAAGAGUAACUGAAUAUGGCAAUGUCCAUAUUGUAUUCGAGUCUCCAGAUUACAUUCGUUCGUCUUUGACUUAUUGACGUAUGAUCCGUUCUUUUCUGUUGGUUUGUAUUGAGCCCAGUUUUCAUGUGUUUCAAAUGAUUGCUUAGUAUUCAUGCUAGAUUUUGAAUGGCUUUUUACAUUGAGAUUCAGUUGAGGAGUUCUGUUUCUAUCUUGUGGUUGAACUAGUUCCUUGGGUAUCAAAAGUGGUAGAAUACUUACACAUUAGAUUCAGAAUGUUAUGUCCAUUUGGUGAAGUUUAAGUUGAUCGACUUCCCUGUUUGAAAUUGCAAAAUCGUGCUUCACUCUUCAUGUUGACUAAGAGAUCGUUUACAUGAGUAAGUUUAAAAUGACUGAUUCUUUUCUUUCGAUCUUGCCGGCCUAAUCAAGUUGAAUCCGCUAAUCAUGGAAUACCUGUGAUGGUGUCUCCCUGUGUAACUGAACUAACUGUAUGAGGAUCAUUAGGGCUCAGAUUCAUCUAACUCUUCUUCAUGGCUCUAUCUGCAUUUAGCUUCACUCUUAAACAACAUAAGUUCAACGUUAAGGAACUGACAUGAUCUAAUUGAGAAGUUGUUACAAAGUUCUGAAGUUCUACCUGAUCGGAAAUUCCAUGAUUUUUGUUAUUGAAGGGUCAGAUGUUGUGUUUGAUAAAUUGGAGGUCCUUUAAAUUUUUGAACUUACCCUGUGGGACUGUCAUAUUUUGAAUAAAGGUAUCUGAUAUGAGAUUAACCUGCUUGAGUUUGUGGUUUUGGGGUUGAAAGAUUUAUUGGGGUCAAGAAUUUAUUCAGGGUUCGGGUUAGAUUCUGUUGCUACUAGAUGUAAGCUAUCGUGCAAAUACUAUUGGUCGUUUAUGUGAAUGUUAACUUUUUAUGCUUUUCUUUAGAACAUGUUCAUUGAAUUCUUUGUGCGAAGCAUGUGACAUGGGUGUCAUUUGAGUACUAUUAGUGAAAUACUUUGAUAUUUUGAAUUUUGAAUUAAGUUAGGAUGUCAGUUUGUCCAGGGAGGUGCCUCAUAGAUCUUGUCAUUUUAUCCACUUGAUUUACCUUUUGAUCUCCUAGUAUUCUUGUUUAGUCGUUCACCUGUUAUUAGUAGUAUGUCUAUGUCGAAUUCCUUUGUUGAUGCGUGUUAAGUCCUUUUAAGAUUGAAUAGAGUUCUAGUUGUUCGGUUGUGGGGGUUAGCUUUUUAAACGUGGUGGAAACCGGGGUUGGAUAAUCUCGUUACUCUUUUAUUCUUACUCUCAUGAAUUUGAACGAUAGUAGCAUGCUUAGGCCGACUGCGCUUGGGUAGGCAAGCCUUAGAAUUGUUUGUUAGCUUUUGAGGCAAGAGGUCGUCCCUUUAGUUAAAUUUAUCUGGAAAAUUUUCCGAAGGACUUGUAUAUAUUUUAUUCCGAGGAAUACCCCGAAGUACUUGUAUUUGGAGGCCAAAAGUGAAACUCGUAGUAUUUUUUAGUUUCUAUUUAAAUUUCCUUUAUUAGGCAGGGAUGACCUCGAACCUCUUGUGUGUUUACUUAUUUUGCUUUUCUGUGUUGUUCUUACCUCAAUUAAAUAUUUUAAAACCAACUAGAUCGAUUACGCAACCAUGACCUUCACGGGACUUGGGGAGUGCCUAACACCUUCUCCCCGAGUCAAAUGAACCUCCUUACCCUAAUCUCUGGUGCGGACUUAGUUUUGAGUCCAAGUAUUUUAAAAGGACAAUAUUUUCUAUAAACUGGUGCCUGGCACACCGAAAACAAAUGACAGGUGGCGAUUUUGAGUCAUUUUCUUUUAAACACCAUUUUUGUCACUUUCAAAAUUGAAAAACCUUUUUCAAAUUUUCUUUACCAAAUCUUUUUAUUUAUUUAAGAGGGUUAAGUGAAGGUUUGUUUAAAAAAGGGGUGUGACAGUGUCUUCGUAAUAGACUUCCAUCUAAAAAGUACCUAGAACAUAUUGAUACGACAUUGACCCAAUUUGUCUCAUAUGAGACAAAAGAGAAGUAGAGUCUAUCACACAUAUCUGUAUGAAUUGCUCCAUAAGUAAAGCUUUUUGGGAUAACUUAGGGGGCUCACCAUGAGUGAUCCAUCUAAAGGCCACUGGCUGACUCACUUACAAAAUCAAAAAAUCUCUAUAAGACAUAACCAAAUUGACUGAAAUUUUAUUCUCCCCUUCACCCUAUGGGAAAUUUGGAUUACAAGGAAUGAAAUAACCAAAAAAAUAUGAAAAAAUUGUUUUCUUUAAAAAAAAUUUUGCAAAAAACAGUGGAGUACAAAAUGCUGAUGCGAUACAACCCUCUCCCCAUCCAAAAGAUUCGUAUCCAAAUUAAGUGGCAAAGGCCUCCAAAAGGAUGGCAUAAGCUUAAUGUAGAUGCUAGUCACAACAACUUCCAAAUCUCUCUAUGGGGAGUAUUCCGUAACAAUGAUGGGCAUUGGGUUGUUGGAUUUACGAAAAACAUUGUUGCGAUGUGGACCACUAGAAGCUGAAUUAAAAUCAAUUAAGGAGGGACUCAAAACUGCCCAGGAGUGAGACUUGUUUCCACUUCAAAUCGAAAUAGAUUGUGCAGAGACCAUUCAAGCUACACUAUGUGGUAACAAACUGUUUGAUGAUAUUGUUACUUUUUGCAGGUCGUUAAUGCACCAAAGGAAGGUGACCCUCCUCCAGCACACGUUUAGGGAGUGCAACAGUGUCGCCUACGCCUUGUCUAAGAUGGAAGGAAGCUCAGGGUGAAGAAGAAGUUUUUGUGGUAGCACCAAAUGUGGCUUUUAAUCUUAUUGACUAUGAUAUAGACAAAUAUCGUUGUUUUGUUAAGUACUUAUCUAUUAAUGCUUGCAAUAGUUUAGCAAGCUUAGGCAAUCAAUGUGUACUAAGUGACAUACAAUUAGGCAAUAUUAUAAUAAAUGCUAUUUAGUUUUUAAUAUAUAUGCUUUCUGUUUACUCAAAAAAAAAAAAAUUUAACUCAACGAACUACGUUUCCUUUUUAGAGGUCGUAUAUUUUAAAUUCACAUUUGCUU